Oryctolagus cuniculus (rabbit) is the source of this 112-nucleotide small nuclear RNA. Lineage: Eukaryota; Metazoa; Chordata; Mammalia; Lagomorpha; Leporidae. The record is from Ensembl.
AUACUUUCAAAAUGUAAUGGGUGUUCUUACUAAAAUUGGAAUGAUACAGAGAAGGUUAACAUGGCCCCAACAUACAGAUGAUACACAAAUUCAUGAAGGGUUCCAUACUUUU